Molecule: ribosomal RNA, 1314 nt
Filed under: Pediococcus pentosaceus
Lineage: Bacteria; Bacillati; Bacillota; Bacilli; Lactobacillales; Lactobacillaceae
Description: bacterial SSU rRNA
Rfam family: Bacterial small subunit ribosomal RNA
Source: RNAcentral
GAAGUGAGUGGCGAACGGGUGAGUAACACGUGGGUAACCUGCCCAGAAGUAGGGGAUAACACCUGGAAACAGAUGCUAAUACCGUAUAACAGAGAAAACCGCAUGGUUUUCUUUUAAAAGAUGGCUCUGCUAUCACUUCUGGAUGGACCCGCGGCGUAUUAGCUAGUUGGUGAGGUAAAGGCUCACCAAGGCAGUGAUACGUAGCCGACCUGAGAGGGUAAUCGGCCACAUUGGGACUGAGACACGGCCCAGACUCCUACGGGAGGCAGCAGUAGGGAAUCUUCCACAAUGGACGCAAGUCUGAUGGAGCAACGCCGCGUGAGUGAAGAAGGGUUUCGGCUCGUAAAGCUCUGUUGUUAAAGAAGAACGUGGGUAAGAGUAACUGUUUACCCAGUGACGGUAUUUAACCAGAAAGCCACGGCUAACUACGUGCCAGCAGCCGCGGUAAUACGUAGGUGGCAAGCGUUAUCCGGAUUUAUUGGGCGUAAAGCGAGCGCAGGCGGUCUUUUAAGUCUAAUGUGAAAGCCUUCGGCUCAACCGAAGAAGUGCAUUGGAAACUGGGAGACUUGAGUGCAGAAGAGGACAGUGGAACUCCAUGUGUAGCGGUGAAAUGCGUAGAUAUAUGGAAGAACACCAGUGGCGAAGGCGGCUGUCUGGUCUGCAACUGACGCUGAGGCUCGAAAGCAUGGGUAGCGAACAGGAUUAGAUACCCUGGUAGUCCAUGCCGUAAACGAUGAUUACUAAGUGUUGGAGGGUUUCCGCCCUUCAGUGCUGCAGCUAACGCAUUAAGUAAUCCGCCUGGGGAGUACGACCGCAAGGUUGAAACUCAAAAGAAUUGACGGGGGCCCGCACAAGCGGUGGAGCAUGUGGUUUAAUUCGAAGCUACGCGAAGAACCUUACCAGGUCUUGACAUCUUCUGACAGUCUAAGAGAUUAGAGGUUCCCUUCGGGGACAGAAUGACAGGUGGUGCAUGGUUGUCGUCAGCUCGUGUCGUGAGAUGUUGGGUUAAGUCCCGCAACGAGCGCAACCCUUAUUACUAGUUGCCAGCAUUAAGUUGGGCACUCUAGUGAGACUGCCGGUGACAAACCGGAGGAAGGUGGGGACGACGUCAAAUCAUCAUGCCCCUUAUGACCUGGGCUACACACGUGCUACAAUGGAUGGUACAACGAGUCGCGAGACCGCGAGGUUAAGCUAAUCUCUUAAAACCAUUCUCAGUUCGGACUGUAGGCUGCAACUCGCCUACACGAAGUCGGAAUCGCUAGUAAUCGCGGAUCAGCAUGCCGCGGUGAAUACGUUCCCGGGCCUUGUACACAC